AUAUGUCGCUUAUGAUUCAUAACAUCUGCAAAUUUGUACUAAAGCCUUUCCAAUGAAAAUAAUUUUACGGACGGUGGUCACCAGAACAUGAGAAACUUUGCUAAAGGGUCGCAGCAUAAGGAGGGUUGAAAGCCACUGUCUUUGGUACAUCAUGCAGUAGGUGCUUGAAUACAGUGGAAUGCUCUCUGGGAAUUGAAAAUGUAAGGCCUAUGUCCUCAUCAAGAUCUCUGUACUGGGAGGGUUGGGACUACAAUGAUGGUUGAAUAUCUUGGUUACUCAGGAGGCAUUGGAUUUGCAUAGUCUUCUCGGUCAUAGACAGACAUCUCUAGAGGUUGUGGUUGCCAUGGGUGAGGCCAAGGCUUCAGACAACAUCUAAAGAUGGUCUGACUGGGAUCCAUAGGAUCCCAGGUAAUUCUAAAUGAGUCAAAUUUGUGGAUGAGAACCAAAAUGCCCCAACUAAGUGGUCAAGUUCAAAAAACUGUGCAACACCAGUCGGCCACCUAGUGUCAGAAAGGGAAAUGGAGGACUAAAACAUGUCUGUUCCUUUUUUGGGUUGGGGAUUGUUUUGUGGGUACACAAACAGCCUACUGAGGGGAGAAUUCAUGAGCAUGAGAGGAACCAGGUUCAAAUCUGGCUUGGCUGAUGCACAUGUUGUGAGACUGGCCUACAGAACCUGGGUCCUCAGCUCUGAUUUGUAUUCUGCCAUGUUUAUGACUAGAGUUCUCCCCUUGCUCUUCAAGUACACAAGGUGUGCAUAACCAUCUAGACUGUGGGAAUGGGAACUUGGCCUCUGAAGGCAGUACUUGGGUACUCACCUUGCUGGAAUGAAUCUCAGGGUCAGGGUAAUCUGUGAGAUAUGAAACAAUGGGAGUAUAUGAGGAAAUGUGGACAUACGGAACUCACUGCUCAUAGCCUGAAUGUCUGGUGAACUGUGCCAGCUAGGCCUAAGACCAUGAGCCAGUGUAGGAAGUUAUGUAUCCAGAAAACUCCAAGGCUGAGUUGGAAUGAAGUCUGUGUGACACCAGCCUUUCCUUAAAAUCCCCACAUUGUAUGUUGACUGUGGCAUAUGAGGCCGUUACAGACAGGAUUUUGUAUAGUCUUUUUGAAGACAUAAGCAUGUGUGAUAUACUCACCAUGUAACAAAACCAAAGCAGGGACGAGAAUCCUUGAAAUGUUGCUAUAUAGACUACAAGAUUCUAGCUUGGCCUAGGAGUUUAGUCUAGUGGAGGACUCGAGGAGAUAUUGGUCCCUCUCAGUACUCUGAUGGAAUGUAGAAAAAAAUCUACAUGGAGAAUGUGUAACAGAGACUGAGAAAUCAUGGGAUCUGGACACACACCUGGCUCAGUGCUGUGAAAUCCUACAGAGCCCUUUUAUGGCAGUUGUUGUCAAACAGUGGGAACUAACCCCCGCAAAGACCAUCAGCAGCAGAGAUAUGUCUGGUACAAUACAUAGCACCAGAAAAAUUUCAGUUAGCAUAUGACUACUCAGAUUCAUAACAACCACAAAAUUGUAGUUAAGAUGUCUCAUUGAAAAUAAUUUUAUGGCCUUUGGUCUCCAGAACAUGAGAAACUUUGAUAAAGGGUCGCAGCAAGAGGAGGGUUGGAACCCACAGUCCUUAGUUCUUAAUGAAGUAGGUGGUCUGUUUCAAAAUUAAACUGUGCAACACCAGUGGACCACCUAGUGCCGGAUGGGUAUGUGGGGGGUGAAAAUGUGUCUGUGCAUGUUUUGGGAUUCAGGAUUAGUUGUGAAUCUCUGCACAGCCUGUUUAUGGAAAAUACAUGAGCAUGAGAGGAACCAGGUUAAAACUGGCUAGGCUGAUGCAUAUGUUGUGAGAACAAGGAAAGGCCCUGCCCUGUGCUGGUGGCCUGCAAACAUAUGUCCUGGUCUCCUUUAUAUUGGACUGGCCUACAGAACCUGGGUCCUCAGCUGUGUUUUGUGUUGUGUUCAUGGGAACACAUGUUAGUUACUGGAAAUCUCCCUUUGCUGGUAUACUGCACAAAUUUUGCGUAGCCAUCUAGACUGGGAAAAUGGAAAUGUGGCCUAGGAAGGCAGUCUGAGAUGAAGUGUAUCUCAGGAUAAGCGUGAUCUCUGAGAAACGGGAGGGAUUAUAUGAGGAGAUGUGAACACAUGGAUCUCAGUGCUCAUGGGCUGAGUGCCUGAUGAACUGUGCCAUCCAGGCCUAAGAGCGUGAGCCAGUGUAGGAAGUUGUGUAUCUAGCAAACUCCUAGACUGAGCUGGUAUGAGGACUGUGUGACAUCAGGCUUUCCUUGAAAUCCCCACAUUGAAGGGUAACUGUGGCACAUAAGGCGAUUAGAGGACCGAUUUUUACAAAGUCCAUUUGAAGCCAAAAACAUGUGUGGUAUACUGACCCUGUAAAAAACCAAACCAGCGACGAGAAUAGUCAAAAUGCUAGAAUAUAGUCUCCAUGAUUCCAGCUUGGCCUAGGACUUUACGCUAUUUGGGAGUCGAGGCGAUAUUGGUCCCACUCAGUACUCUGAUGGUACGUAGAAAAAAACUACCUGGAGUAUGUGUAACAGAGACUGAGAAAUCAUGGGAUCUAGACACUCACCUGGCUCGGUGCUCUGAAAUCAUACUGAGCUUUUUUAUGGCAGUUGUUGUCAACCAGGAAGAAUCAACCCUCCCAAUGACAAUCUUCAGCAAAGACAUGUCUGUGACAAUUCAUAGCACCAACAAAAUUGCAGUUAGGAUAUGUCUGUUAUGAUUCAUACCAUCUGCAAAGUUUCACUACGGCCUUUCCAAUGAAAAUAGUUUUAGGGCGGGUGGUUACCAUAAAAUGAGAAACUUUGCUAAAGGGUCGCAACAGAAGAAGGGUUUAAACCCACUGUCUUUGGUUCUUUAUGAAGUAGGUGGAUUACAGACUGGAACGCUUUCUAUGAAUAAAAGUGUAAGCCCGAUGCCUUCAUCAAGGUCUCUGGCCUAGGAGACUAGGGACUACGGUGGUGGUUGAAUAUCUUUGUCACUCAGGAGGUUUUGGUGUUGCACAGACUUCUAUAUCAUAGUCAGGCAUCCCUAGAGGAUGUGGAUGCUAUGGGUGAGAGCAAAUCUUCAGACAACCUCUGAGGAUUGUCUGACCAUGAAACAAAGGAAACCAGCUGAUUCUAAAUUGUCAAAUUUAGUGACAGUGGGGCCAUAAAUGCCUAAAUACAGUGGUCUGUUUCAAAAUUAAACUGUGCAACACCAGUGGACCACCUAGUGCCGGAUGGGUAUGUGGGGGUUAAAAUGUGUCUGUGCCUGUUUGGGGAUUCGGUAGGAAUUUUGGGUCCCCUAACAGCCUGUAGAGGGGAGAAUGCAUGAGCAUGAGAGAAACCAGGUUUAAAACUGGCCUGCAUGAGCACAUGAUGUGAGACCAGAGAAAGGCUCCGCCCUGUGCUGGUGGCCUGCAAACAUAUGUCCUGGUCUCAUUAUAUUGGACUGGCCUACAGAACCUGGGUCUUCAGCUGUGUUUUGUGUUGUGUUCAUGGGAACACAUGUUAAUUACUGGAAAUCUCCCUUUGCUGGUCUACUGCACAAAUUUUGCAUAGCCAUCUAGCAUGGGAGAAUGGAAAUGUGGCCUAGGAAGGCAGUCUGAGAUGAAGUGUAUCUCAGGAUAAGCGUGAUCUGUGAGAAACGGGAGGGAUUAUAUGAGGAGAUGUGAACACAUGGAUCUCACUGCUCAUGGGCUGAGUGCCUGAUGAACUGUGCCAUCCAGGCCUUAGAGCGUGAGCCAGUGUAGGAAGUUGUGUAUCUAGCAAACUCCUAGACUGAGCUGGUAUGAGGACUGUGUGACAUCAGGCUUUCCUUGAAAUCCCCACAUUGUAGGGUAACUGUGGCCCAUAAGGCCAUUACAGGAUUGAAUUUUAGAAAGUCCUUUGAAGCCACCAACACGUGUGGUAUACUGACCCUGUAAAAAACCAAAGCAGGGACAAGAAUAAUCAAAAUGCUAGAACAUAGUCUCCAUGAUUCCAGCUUGGCCUAGGACUUUAUGCUAUUGGGGAGCCGAGGCGAUAUUGGUCCCACUCAGUACUCUGAUGGUAUGUAGAAAAAAUCUACCUGGAGUAUGUGUAACAGAGACUGAGAAAUCAUGGGAUCUAGACACUCACCUGGCUCCGUGCUAUGAAAUCAUACUGAGUUUUUUAUGGCUGUUGUUGUCAAACAGGGGGAAUCAACCCUCCCAAUGACAAUCUUCAGCAAAGACAUGUCUGUGACAAUUCAUAGCACCAACAAAAUUGCAGUUAGGAUAUGUCUGUUAUGAUUCAUACCAUCUGCAAAAUUUCACUACGGCCUUUCCAAUGAAAAUAGUUUUAGGGCUGGUGUUCAUCAGAACAUGAGAAACUUUGCUAAGGGUCGCAAAAGAAAGAGGGUUUAAACCCACUGUCUUUGGUUCUUUAUGAAUUAGGUGGAUUACAGACUGGAACGCUUUCUAUGAAUAAAAGUGUAACCCGAUGCCUUCAUCAAGGUAUCUGUCCUGGGAGAGUGGGGACUACGGUGGUGGUUGAAUAUCUUGGUCUCUCAGGAAGUUUUGGUGUUGCACAGACUUCUGUAUCAUAGUCAGGCAUCCCUAGAGGAUGUGGAUGCUAUGGGUGAGGGCAAAUCUUCAGACAACCUCUGAGGAUUGUCUGACUGUGAAACAAAGGAAACCAGCUGAUUCCACAUGGUCAAAUUUAGUGACAGUGGGGCCAUAAAUGCCUAAAUACAGUGGUCUGUUUCAAAAUUAAACUGUGCAACACCAGUGGACCACCUAGUGCCGGAUGGGCAUGUGGGGGGUGAAAAUGUGUCUGUGCCUGUUUGGGUAUCGGGGAGGAACUGUGGGUCCCCUAACAGCCUGUAGAGGGGAGAAUGCAUGAGCAUGAGAGGAACCAGGUUUAAAACUGGCCUGCAUGAGCACAUGAUGUGAGACCAGAGAAAGGCUCUGCCCUGUGCUGGUGGCCUGCAAACAUAUGUCCUGGUCUCAUUAUAUUGGACUGGCCUACAGAACCUGGGUCCUCAGCUGUGUUUUGUGUUGUGUUCAUGGGAACACAUGUUAGUUACUGGAAAUCUCCCUUUGCUGGUCUACUGCACAAAUUUUGCAUAGCCAUCUAGCAUGGGAGAAUGGAAAUGUGGCCUAGGAAGGCAGUCUGAGAUGAAGUGUAUCUCAGGAUAAGCGUGAUCUGUGAGAAACGGGAGGGAUUAUAUGAGGAGAUGUGAACACAUGGAUCUCACUGCUCAUGGGCUGAGUGCCUGAUGAACUGUGCCAUCCAGGCCUUAGAGCGUGAGCCAGUGUAGGAAGUUGUGUAUCUAGCAAACUCCUAGACUGAGCUGGUAUGAGAACUGUAUGACAUCAGGCUUUCCUUGAAAUCCCCACAUUGUAGGGUAACUGUGGCUCAUAAGGCCAUUACAGGAUUGAAUUUUACAAAGUUCUUUUGAAGCCACCAACACGUGUGAUAUACUCACCCUGUAAAACCCAAAGCAGGGACGAGAAUAAUCAAAAUGCUAGAACAUUGUCUCCAUGAUUCCAGCUUGGCCUAGGACUUUAUGCUAUUGGGGAGCCGAGGCGAUAUUGGUCCCACUCAGUACUCUGAUGGUAUGUAGAAAAAAUCUACCUGGAGUAUGUGUAACAGAGACUGAGAAAUCAUGGGGUCUAGACACUCACCUGGCUCGGUGCUCUGAAAUCAUACUGAGCUUUUUUAUGGCAGUUGUUGUCAAACAGUGGGAAACAACCCUCCCAAUGACAAUCUUCAGCAAAGACAUGUCUGUGACAAUUCAUAGCACCAACAAAAUUGCAGUUAGGAUAUGUCUGUUAUGAUUCAUACCAUCUGCAAAAUUUCACUACGGCCUUUCCAAUGAAAAUAGUUUUACGGCUGGUGGUCACCAGAACAUGAGAAACUUUGCUAAGGGGUCGCAACAGAAGGAGGGUUGAAACCCACUGUCUUUGGUUCUUUAUGAAUUUGGUGGAUUACAGACUUGAACGCUUUCUAUGAAUAAAAGUGUAAGCCUGAUGCCUUCAUCAAGGUAUCUGUCCUGGGAGAGUGGGGACUACGGUGGUGGUUGAAUAUCUUUGUCUCUCAGGAAGUUUUGGUGUUGCACAGACUUCUGGACCAUGGACAGGCAUCCCUAGAGGAUGUGGAUGCUAUGGGUGAGGGCAAAUCUUCAGACAACCUCUGAGGAUUGUCUGACUGUGAAACAAAGGAAACCAGCUGAUUCUAAAUGGUCAAAUUUAGUGACAGUGGGGUCAUAAAUGCCUAAAUACAGUGGUCUGUUUCAAAAUUAAACUGUGCAACACCAGUGGACCACCUAGUGCCGGAUGCGUAUGUGGGGGGUGAAAAUGUGUCUGUGCCUGUUUGGGGUUCAGGGAGGAGUUUUCAGUACCCACAUAGCCUGCUGAGGUGAGAAUGCAUGAGCAUGAGAGGAACCAGGUUUAAAACUGUCCUGGCUGAAUAUAUGUUAUGAAACUAAGGAAAGGCCCUGCGCUGUUCUCUUUUCUGCAAACAUAAGUUCUGCUCUCAUUUUAUUUGACUGGCAUACAGAAGCUUGGUCCUCAGCUCCGUGUUGUGUUGUGUUCAGGGGAAGUCAUGUUUGUUAAUGGAAAUCUCCCAUUGCUGGAAUAGUGAACAUGGUGUGCAUAGCCAUCUGGACUGGACGAAUGGGAUCAUGUCCAGUGAAGGCAGUUCUGGGAUACUCACCUUGCUGGAAUGGAUUCAGGGCCUGGGUGAUCUGUGAGACCCUGAACGAUGCGAUUAUAUGUGGAAAUGUGGUCACAUGGAUCUCACUGCUCAUAGCCUGAAUGUCUGGUGAACUGUGUCAGCUAGGCCUAAGAGCGUGAGCCAUUGUAGGAAGUUAUGUGUCCAGAAACCUCCAAGGCUGAGCUGGAAUAUAUCUGUGUGAAUCUGCCUUUCCUUAAAAUCCCCACAUUGUUCAUUGACUGUGGCUCAUAAGGCCGUUACAGACAGGAUUUUUUAUAGUCCUUUUGAAGCCAUAAACAUGUGUGGUAUACUCACCCUGUAACAAAGCCAAUGCGGGGAUGAGAAUCCUCCAAAUGCUGGAAUAUAGACUACAAGAUUCCAGCUUGGCCUAGGAGUUAGUCUAGUGGAGGACUCGAGGAGAUAUUGUUCCCUCUCAGGACUCUGAUGUAAUGUAGAAAAAUCUACAUGGAGUAUGUGUAAAAGAGACUGAGAAAUCAUGGGGUCUGGACACUCACCUGGCUCGGUGCUGUGAAAUCCUACAGAGCCCUUUUAAGGCAGUUGUUUUCAAACAGUGGGAUGCAACCAUCCCAAAGACCAUUUGAAGCAACGUUAUGUCUGUGACAAUUCACAGCACCAGAAAAAAAUCAGUUAGCAUAUUUCUGUUCAGAUUCACAACAACCACAAAUUGUAGUUAGUAUGUCUCAAUGAAAAUAAUUUUUUGAGUUUUGAUCACCAGAACAUGAGAAACUUUGCUAAAGGGUUGCAGCAUGAGGAGGGUUAGAAGGUAUUGUCUUUGCUUCGUUAUGAAGUAUGUGGUAUAAAGGCUGGAAUGCUCUGCAUGAAUAGAAAUUGUAUGUGAAAUGCCUUCAUCAUGGUCUCUGUCCUGAGAAAGUGGGGACAACAGUGGUGGUCUCUCAAGAGGCUUUGGUCUUGUACAUUCUUCUGUGCCAUAGGUGGGCAUCCCUAGAGGAUGUGGAUUCCUUGCUUGAGGGCAAAGCUUCUGAAAAUAUCUGAGGAUGGCUUAAUGUGAACCAUAGGAUCCUAGGUAAUUCUAUAUGAUUAAAAUUUGGGGGUGAGAAGCAGAAUGUCCCAUUAACUGGUCAGGUUCAAAAAUUGUGCAACACUUUUGGGCCACCUAGUGAUGGACAGAGAAAUGGAGGAUGAAAAUGUGUUUGUGCCUGUUUUGGGAUGGGGGAGGUAUUGUGGGUCCUCACAGAGCAUGCUGAGGGGAGAAUGCAUGAACAUGAUAGGAACCAGGUUCAAAUCUGGCUUGGCUGAUGCACAUGUUGUGAGACCAAGGAAAGACCCUGCCCUAUGCUGGUGGCCUGCAUUCAUAUGUCCUGGUCCCAUGAUACUGGACUGGCCUACAGAACCUGGUUCCUCAGCCCUGCUUUGUGUUGUGUUCAGGGGAAGCCAUGUUAGUUACUGGAAAUCUCCACUUGUUGGUCUAGUGUACAAGGUGUGCAUGGCUAUCUAGACUGGGAGAAUGGAAACAUGGCCUGUGAAGGCAGUUCUGAGAUGAAGUGGAUCUCAGGAUAAGCAUGAUCUGUGAGAACUGGGACGAUGGGAUUAUAUGAGGAGAUGCGGACACAUAGAUCUCACUGCUCAUAGCCUGAGUGCCUGAUGAACUGUGCCAUCCAGGCCUAAGAGCGUGAGCCAGUGUAGGAAGUUGUGUUUCCAGAAAACUCCUAGGCUGAACUGGUAUGAAAUUUGUGCAAUACCAGCUUUUCUUUAAAGUCUCACAUUGAAGGUGGACUGUGGCACAUAAGGCAGUUACAGGACAUAAAUUUGCAUAGUCCUUUUGAAGCCAUCAACAUGUGUGGUAUACUCAUCCUAUAACAAAACCAAAGAAGGGAUGAGAAUCCUCAAAAUGCUGGCAGUUAAAUUCCAAUAUUCCAGCUUGACUUAGGAGUUUACGGUAGUGGGUGAGUCAUGAGGAUAUUGGUCCCUCUCAGGACUCUGCUUGUAUGCAGAAUACAUGUACAUGGUGUUUGUGUAACAGAGACUGAGAAAUCAUGGGACCUGGACACUCACCUGGCUAGGUGCUGUGAAAUCCCACAAAGCCCUUUUAUGGCAGUUGUUGUCAAACAGUGGGAAUCAACCCUCCCAAAGACCAUCUGCAGCAAAGACAUGUCUGUGACAAUUCAUAGCACCAACAAAAUUGCAGUUAAGAUAUGUCUGUUAUGAUUUAUAGCAUCAGCAAAAUUGCGUUAAGGACUUUCCAAUGAAAAUAGUUUUAUGGCUGGUGGUCACCAGAACAUGAGAAACUUUGCUAAAGGGUCGCAACAGAAGGGUUUAAACCCACUGUCUUUGGUUCUUUAUGAAGUAGGUGGAUUACAGAUUGGAACACUUUCUAUGAAUAAAAGUGUAAGCCCGAUGCCUUCAUCAAGGUCUCUGUCCUAGGAGAGUGGGGACUACGGUGGUGGUUGAAUAUCUUUGUCACUCAGGAGGUUUUGGUGUUGCACAGACUUCUGUAUCAUAGUCAGGCAUGCCUAGAGGAUGUGGAUGCUAUGGGUGAGGGCAAAUCUUCAGACAACCUCUGAGGAUUGUCUGACUGUGAAACAAAAGAAACCAGCUGAUUCUAAAUGGUCAAAUUUAGUGACAGUGGGGCCAUAAAUGCCUAAAUACAGUGGUCUGUUUCAAAAUUAAACUGUGCAACACCAGUGAACCACCUAGUGCCGGAUGGGUAUGUAGGGGGUGAAAAUGUGUCUGUGCCUGUUUGGGGAUCAGGGAGGAGUUGUGGGUCCCCACACAGCCUGCUGAGGGGAGAAUGAAUGAGCAUGUGUGGAACCAGGUUCAAAUCUGGCUUGGUUGAUGCACAUGUUGUGAGACCAGAAAAGGCCAUUUCCUGUGCUGGUGGCCUGCAAUUAUAUGUCCUGGUCUCAUCAUAUUGGACUGGCCUAUAGAACCUGAGUCCUCAGCUCUUCUUUGUGUUGUGUUCAGGGGAAGUGAUUUUUGUGACUAGAGCUCUCUUCUUGCUGGUCUAGUGCACAUGGUGUGCAUAGCCAUCUAGACUUGGGAGAAUGGAAACAUGGCCUGUGAAGGCAGUUCUGGGAUCCUCACUUUGAUGAAGUGGAUCUCAGGAUAAGUGAGAUCUGUGAGACCUGGAACUAGGGAUUAUAUGAGGAGAUUUGGACACCUGGAUCUCACUGCUCAUAGCCCGAGUGCCUGGUAAACUGUGCCAACCAGGCCUAAGAGUGUGAGCCAGUGUAGGAAGUUGUAUAUCUAGAAAACUUCUAGGCUGAGCUGGUAUGAGGACUGUGUGACACCAGCCAUUCCUUGAAAUCCCCACAUUGUAGGUUACUGUGGCUCAUAAGGCCAUUACAGGACAGGCUUUUUCAUAGUCCUUUUGAAGCCAUCAACACGUGUGAUAUACUCACCCUGUAACCAAACCAAAGCAGGGACAAGAAUCCUUGAAAUGCUGCUAUAUAGACUACAAGAUUCCAGCUUGGCCUAGGAGUUUAGGCUAGUGGCAGACUGAGAGGAUAAUGGACAAUCUCAGGACUCUGCUGGUGUGCAGAAUACAUGUACAUGGUGUAUCUGUAACUGAGACGGAGAAAUCAUGGGAUCUGGACACGUACCUGACUCAGUGCUGUGAAAUCCUACAGAGCCCUUUUAUGGCAGUUGUUGUCAAACAGUGGGAAUCAACCCUCCCAAAAACCAUCUGCAGCAAAGACAUGUCUGUGACAAUUCAUAGCACCAACAAAAUUGCAGUAAGGAUAUGUCUGUUAUGAUUCAUAGCAAUUGCAAAAUUGCGGUAAGGACUUUCCAAUGAAAAUAGUUUUAUGGCUGGUGGUCAUCAGAACAUGAGAAACUUUGCUAAAGGGUCACAGCAUGAGGAGGGUUGAAACCUACUGUCUUUAGUUCUUUAUGAAGUAGGUGGAUUACAGACUGGAACGCUUUCUAUGAAUAAAAGUGUAAGCCCAAUGUCCUCAUCAAUGUCUCUCUCCUGGGAGAGGGCGGACAACGGUGGUGGUUGAAUAUCUUGGUCACUCAGGAGGUUUUGGUGUUGCACAGACUUCUGUAUCAUAGUCAGGCAUGCCUAGAGGAUGUGGAUGCUAUGGGUGAGAGCAAAUCUUCAGAGAACCUCUGAGGAUUGUCUGACUGUGAAACAAAGGAAACCAGCUGAUUCUAAAUGGUCAAAUUUAGUGACAGUGGGGCCAUAAAUGCCUAAAUACAGUGGUCUGUUUCAAAAUUAAACUGUGCAACACCAGUGGACCUCCUAGAGCAGAAUGGGUCUUUGGAGGAUGAAAAUGUGUCUCUGCCUCUUUUGGGAUGAGGGAGGCAUUGUGGGUCCCCACACAGUCUGUUGUGGGGAGAAUGCAUGAACAUGAGAGGAACCAGGUUCAAAUCUUGCUUGGCUGAUGCACAUGUUGUGAGACCAAGGAAAGGCCCUGCCCUGUGCUGUUGGCCUGUAAUCAUAUGUCCUGGUCUCAUCACAUUGGACAUGCCUACAGAACCUGGGUCCUCAGCUCUGUUUUGUGUGUUAUUCAGGGGAAGCCAUGUUUGUAACCAGAGCUCUUCCCUUGCUCGUCUAGUUCACAUGUUGUGCGUAGCCAUCCUGACUGGGAGAAUGGGAACAAGGCCUUUGAUGGCAGUUUGGCAUCCUCAAUUUGAUGGAAUAGAUCACAGGAUAUUGGAAAUCUGUGUAACCUGGGCUUAUUGCACUGUGAGAAGGUGUGGGCAUGUGGCACUCACUCUCAUGGUUAGAAUGAGCAAAAGUCAUUUUUGUAGGCAAAAAUGAAUAGAGUACAGUUCAGCUACGUAUAAGUGUGUGAGCCAAUGUGAGAGGAUCCAUUAGUAUAAGACUCCAUGGCUAAGCUGGCAUGCAGUCUAUAUGACAGCGGUACAUUCUAGAAACUUCUAUAAAUUAGGGUGGCUGUGACAUUUUUGACCAUCACCCUGACAGUAUUUUGCACAGUUCUUUGGUUCCACAUACAUUUGGGUAAUGGUCCCAUUCUAAGAAUUCAGGACCGUAGGUGAGAUUCCAUGAGAUGUAUCCAUGCAGACUCAAAUAUUCCAGCUUGAACCCGGAGUUUAAGGUAGUGGGAUAAUAACCGGCUUAUUGAUUCCUCUCUAGACUGUGCUGGUGUUCAGACUACAUCAACUUAGUAUCAAAGUAACUGAUUGCCUAAUCAUGGGAUCUGUACAUUCACCUGGCUUGGUGCUAUGAAAUCCUAUAGAGACCUUUUCUUAGGGCAGUUAUACUCAACCUGUGGGAAGCCACUCUCCCAAAGACCAUCUGAAGCAAUGCAAUUUAUAUGACAAUUCAUAACACCAGCAAAACUGAUGUUAGGACGAUCCAGUUAAAAUGAUUUUACUGUCUGUGUUCACCAGAACAUGAGAAAUUUUGCUAAAUGGUCUCAACAUGAGGAGGAUUAAAACCCACUAGAUUGUACAUAGGUUAGGACCUGGGUUACUCUCCAUGAAUGGAAAGUGUAAGGUCUAUGCCCACAGCAAGGUCUCUGUCCUAGUGAAUGAGGUCAAUAGUGGUGGACAGUUAUUUGGGUCACACAGGAGGCUUUGGUGUUGCACAGGUUCCUGGACCAUAGACAGGCAUCCCGAGAGGAUGUAGAUGACAUGGCUAAGGUUAAAGCUUCAGACAAUGAUUGAGGCCUGUCUGACUUGAAACCAAAGGAUCCCAGCUUAUUUCAAAUGAUUCAAAUCUGAGAAAGGUGAGGACCAAAAUGCCCCAACUCAAUGGUAAGGUUCAAAACUGCAACACCAGCUGAGCCACCUAGUGAAGGAUGCAUACAUGGAGGAUGAAAAUGUGUCUGGGUUUUGGUAUGGGGGAGAAUUGUGGGUCCCCACACAGCUUGCUGAGGGGAGAAUGCAUGAGCAUGAGAGGAACCAGGUUUAAAACUGGCCUGCAUGAGCACAUGAUGUGAGACCAGAGAAAGGCUCUGCCCUGUGCUGGUGGCCUGCAAACAUUAUAUUGGACUGGCCUACAGAACCUGGGUCCUCAUCUCUGCUUUGUGUUGUGUUCAGAGGAAGCCAUGUUUGUUACUGGAACUCUCCCCUUGAUGGUCUAGGGCACACGGUGUGCAUAGCCAUCUAGACUGGGAGAAUGGGAACAUGGCCUGUGAAGUCAGCUCUGGGAUCCUCACUUUGCUGGAAUGGAUCUCAGGAUAAGGGUGAUCUGUGAGAACUGGGAGUAGGGGAUUAUAUGAGGAGCUAUGCACACACAGAUUUCACUGCUCAGAGCCUGAAUGCCUGGUGAACUGUGCCAUCUAGGCCUAAGAGCAUGAGCCAGUGUAGGAAGUUAUGUAUCCAGAAAAUUCCAAGGCUGAGCUGGAAUGAAGUCUAUAUGACACCAGCCUUUCCUUGAAGUCCCCACAUUGAAUGUUGACUGUGGCACAUAAGGCCAUUACAGGAUAAGAGUUUGCAUAGUCAUUUUGAAACCACAAACAUGUGUGGUAACGUCACACUGUAACAAAGCCAAAGCAGGGAUGAGAAUCCUCGAAAUGCUGGCAGUUAGACUCCAAGAUUUCAGCUUGGCCUAGGAGUUUACGCUAGUGGCAGAGUCGAGGGGAUAUUGGUCCCUCUCAGACCUCUUCUGGUGUGCAGAAUACAUGUACAUGGAGUAUGUUUAACAGAGACUGAGAAAUCAUGGGAUCUGUACACUCACCUGGCUCGCUGCUGUGAAAUCCUACAGAGCCCUUUUUAUGACAAUUUCUGUCAACCAGUGGGAAGCUACCCUCCCAAAGACCAUCUGAAGUAAAGAUAUGUCUGGUAUGAAUCAUAGCACCAGCAAAAUUUCAGUUAGGAUAUGUCUGUUAUGAUUCAUAACAACUGCAAAAUUGUAGUUAGGAUGUUUCAAUGAAAGUUAUUUUACAGUUGGUGGUCACCAGAACAUGAGAAACUUUGCCAAAGGGUUGUAGCAUGAGGAGGGUUGAAAGCCACUGUCUUUAGUUCUUUAUGAAGUAGGUGGUUUACAGGCUGGAACGCUCUCUAUGAAUUGAAAGUGUAAGGCCUAUGCCCUCCUCAAGUUCUCUGUCCUGGGAGAGUGGGGAUAAUGAUGGUGGUUGAAUUUCUUGGUCAAUCCCGAAGCAUUGGUGUGCACAAACUUCUGGACCACACACGAGCAUCCCUAGAGGAUGUGGAUUUUAUGGGUGAAGGCAAAGCUUCAAACAAACUCUGACGUUGGUCUUACUGGGAUCCAAAGGAUCCCAGGUGAUAUAUGAUUAAAAUUUGGGGAUGAGAGCCAAAAUGCCCCCAACUAAGUGGUCAGGUUCAAAAAAUUGUGCAACAUCCUUGGGGUACCUCAUGAUGGACAGGGAAAUGGGAGAUGAAAAUGUGUCUGGGAGGAGUUGUGGGUCCCCACACAGACUGCUGAGGGGAAAAUGCAUGAGCAUGAGAGGAACCAGGUUUAAAGCUGGCUUGGCUGAUACACAUGUUGUGAGACCAAGGAAAGGUCCUGCCCUGUGCUAGUGGCCUGCAAUCAUGUGUCCUGGUCUCAUCAUACUGGACUGGCCUACAGAAUCUGGGUCCUCAGCUCUGCUUUGUGUUGUGUUCAGAGGAAGCCAUGUUUGUGACUAGAGCUUUCCACUUGUUGGUCUAGUGCACAAGGUGUGCAUGGCUAUCUAGACUGGGAGAAUGGGAACAUGACCUGUGAAGGCAGUUCUGGGAUCUUCACCUUGCUGGAAUGGAUUGCACAAUAUGGGCCAUCACUGACAUCUGGGCCCAUGGCACAUUGAUUAGCUGUGGACAUGUGGCCCUCACUGCUUAUGGCCUGAAUGUCUAGAGCAUAGCUCCAUAUAGAUUUAAGGGUGUGAGCCAGUGUGGGAGGAUCCAUUACUAGAAAACUCUAUGGUUGAGCUGGGAUGCAAUCUGUAUGACAACAGCACUUGCUAGAAAUCCCUAUACAGUAAGUAGGGUGACUGUGGCAUAUUUGACAGUCACCCAGACAGGAUUUUGCACAGUUUUUUUGGUUCCACAAACAUGUGGGCUAAGGUCACAUUCUAAGAAGUUUAGACCGUGGGCAAGAAUCCACAAGAUGCAGCCAUGCAGACUUCAAUAUUCAAGCUUGGCCUAGGAGUUUAAGGUAGUCAGGGAGACACUGGCUUAUUGGUCCCUCUCUUUACUAUGUUGGUGUGCAAACUACAUCAGCUUGGUGUCAAAGAGAAUGAUUGAGAAAUCAUGGGAUCUUGACCCUCACAUGGCUAGGUGCUCUGAAAUCCUACAGAGACGUUUUCUUAGGGAUAUGUUCUCAACUUAUGGGAAGCGACCCUCCUAAUGACCAUCUGAAGCAAUGCAAUGACUAUUUACAUGACAAUUCAUAACAGCAGCAAAACUGCAGUUAGGAUGUACCAAUGGAAAUCAUUUUACUCUCUGUGUUCACCAGAACACGAGAAAUUUUGCUAAAGGGUAGCAGCAUGAGGAGUGUUGAAACCCACUGUUUUAUGGUCUUCAUAUAGUUGAUAGGUUAGGGUCUGGGUCGUUUUCCGUGAAUGGAAAGUGUAAGGCCUAUUCCCACAGCAAGGUCUCUGUCCUGGGAUAGUCAGGUCAAUGCAGGUGAUGGUUAUUUGGGUCACAAAGGAGGCUUUGGUGUUGCACAGGUUCCUGGACCAUAGACAGGUAUCCUGAGAGGAUAUGGAUAAAAUGACUAAGGUUAAAGCUUCAGACAAUGAUUGAGGCCUGUCUGACUGGGAACCAAAGGAUCCCAGCUGAUUUUAAAUGAUUCAAAUUUGAGAAAAGUGAGGACCAAAAUACCCCAACUCAAUGGUAAGGUUCAAAAACUAUGCCAUACCAGCUGGGACACCUAGUGAGGAUGGGUACAUGGAGGAUGAAAAUUUGUCUGGGUUUUGGGAUGGAGGAGGAAUUGUGGGUCUCAACACAGCCUACUGAGGGGAAAAUUCAUGAGCAUGUGAGGAACCAGGUUUAAAGCUGGCUUGGCUGAUGCACAUGUUGUGACACCAAGGAAAGGCCCUGCCCUGUGCUGGUGGCCUGCAAUCAUAUGUCCUGGUCUCAUCAUACUGGACUGGCCUACAGAACCUGGUUCCUCAGCUCUGCUUUGUGUUGUGUUCAGGGAAAGCCAUGUAUGUGACUAGAGCUCUCCCCUUGCUGGUCUAGUGCCCAUGGUGUGCAUAGCCAUCUAGACUGGGAGAAUGGGAACAUGGCCUAUGAAGGCAGUUCUAGGAUCCUCACUUUGCUGGAAUGGAUCACAGGAUUUUGGGGAUCUGUGAGAGGUGGGCCUAUGGCACUGUGAGAAGCUGUGGACAUGUGGCACUCACUGCUCAUGGCUUAAAUGAGCAAAAUUCAUUUUGUGAACAAAAAUGGAAAUGAUUUUACUGUCUGUGUUCACUAGAACACGAGAAAUUUUGCUAAAUGGUCUCAGCAUGAGGAGGGUUAAAACCUACUCUAUUAUGGUCAUCAGACAGUAUGUAGGUCAGGGCCUGAAUUACUCUCCAUGAAUGGAAAGUGUAAGACCUAUGCCCACAGCAAGGUCUCUGUCCUAGUGAAUGAGGUCAAUGAUGGUGGAUGGUUAUUUGUUGGAAAGCAAGAUGCUGGAUCAGUCUCAUUGAUUGUCUAGUGUGCAGAGUGCAAGAUACCAGCUAAUCAUAGGCAUAUAAAGAUUGGUCAGUUUUGUAGGAGUCUCUCAGUCUGCUGUGGUAGUGUGCUGAUUGCUGUUUUCUAUGCCUGGGAAUAUGAAGGGCAGGGUCAUGCUGUGUUCAGGAGCACUUACCUGGCUCAUUUGGUUGACAAGCUAUGAGAACCAGAAUAGACCUGGGACUUUUAGGCCAAACAGGUGGGUGAACAUCUGGAUCACUCUUCAGGUUAGGCAGAUGCCAGAUACAUGGCCAUGCUGAGGUUAGUGUAUAUGGCUAAUUGUGGUAGCUGAUUAUUUGGGGUCCAUCACCAGGUCUUUUUUGUUGGUUAGCAUUUGCUUGGUUCCUGUGAAAUUAUUUUUCCAGUAUCUGCCAGACAGUUUCCUAGUUUUCUGUCUUAACACUCCUGUGUAGGAAUAGAAUUUUCUAGUUGUUCCUGCUUUGUAUGUUUUUCAACUAUAAAUUGUUGACCGAAGGAUAUCUUUCAUUUCCAUGUUUUUCCCUGCAUUGUCUGGUCUAACAAUGAAAGACACAUUUCAGCUGUGUGUCUUUGCUAUUACAAAGUUUCCUUGGACAUAAUGAUUACCUGUUUGGUGUUUAAUGGUUCCUCUGUCAUGUUUUUCAUAGGCAUUGCUGGUCUGAUCUCCAUGACCCCUUCAUCUCUUUUUUACCCUAUUUUUAAAGAAAAAGGUUUCCAUGUGAUGUUUUCCACAUUAAGAGCUGUAUUAAUCAUGAAAGAUAGUCUCUGCAUUUUACUAUUCCAGCUCUUUCUGCUUUGAUCAUUAAAAAAGUGUUCUGUAGCCAGCUUUUAUCUGCUCUGGCCAGGAAGUAAAUCUCUAAACUCAGCCACUUCCAAAGAGGUCACGUCAUGUAGGUUCCAAAGGAAGUUUACCAUUUCUGUAUCUUCACCAUCAUUAUUUAUUCUAGUCAGGAAGGAAUUAUUGUAUUUAUAUGUCUUCCUUGGCUGUAUUCAUUUUGGCUGCACAACAAUCUUCAAUAUUUAUGUCUUCUCAAGUUAUAGCUGACUUCAAAUAAUAAUAUCUACUCCAUAUUCUUGUCUUUCCCAGAUAUAUUUUUCUGAUACCUAUGGAAAUCUUCAAUAUCCACAUCUUUCAAUGCCAUAUUUUUUGAAUGUUCCCUUACCACAGCAAUAACUAUUUGGUGAUGAAAAGCAGCUACCAUUUUCCUAUCUGCACCAUGAAAUAUAUUCUGCAUGUUAUAUUUUCUACCAUAGAUAGUAUUGUUAGGAAAUAAGCCUUCUAUCUCAUGUCUUUACUAACCACAGCUCCUUGGUGCAUUUUUCAUAUCAAUUUAUUACUCAAAAUGAGUAUCCAUAAGAGAUAGAAUCCAAUCCUCAGUCUUGUAUAAUCAUUAAAAAUUCUAGUUGCAAAAAGAACAUGACUUGUUCACUCAUACGGGUUUUAAAAAUUAUGUUAUAAUUUUCCAUGCCUAUAUGUUUCUAACUCACAACUACUCUGGCAAUAAAGUGCAUUCUCUGCAGUCACAUCCUCCCUGUUGCUGCUUUAGUACUGGAAUAAGUCAUCUAUCACUAUGUCUUUCCCUAGAUAUAGAUGCUGUUGACAAGAAAGUGAUGCUCAACUUCUAUGUUGUGUCAUUCAGUGCAGGGCUGUAGCUGUGAAAUGCCUUCCAAAUCUAUUUCAUCAUGAGCUAAAGUUGAUUGGUAAAACAAGAAGUUUUCCAUUACCAUAUCUUCCCAGUUUAUAUCCACUCUCCUUAAGGAAUUUUUCCUGCUUCUCCUCUUCCAUAGGCUCAACAAAGUUGGUGAGAAAAAAGUUUCCGUCUCUGGCCAAGAAAUAAGUUCUUCAUUUUCAUGCUUUUCUCAUGUGCAUCUACUUUGAUAAUGUAAAAAGCCAUUCCUUGCUCGUGCCUUUCAAAGGCUCUCUGCUCUGGUUAUGAGCUUGACCUUUGAAUGCUGUAUGCUAUAGUUCCUUCCAUAAAAAAACCAUAUACCUUUUUGUAUCCCCAAAACUACAGCUGUCUUUGUUACAGAAUUGGUUUUUUUCCCCUGUUAUCAUAGCUUUUCAAAUCAUGGCAGCUUUGAUCAUGAGAGCAGACUUCCCACAGAACAGUCCUUGCUGUUUACGAUUUAGGAAAACUUCUUACUCCGUUCCUGUUCAGUCAUAUUUAUUUUUGUCACAUUCUAGUUUUGGUUUCCUCAGUUUCUGCAUCCAUAGCUACUUUGUCAAGUAAACAAUGAUUUUAAAUCUAGGAUUUCUCCUGUUAAAUUUGCUGUCAGUGUGUCUGUUUUGGUGACCACAGAAAGUUUUCUCUUCCCUCUCUGGCCAUUUAUGCUCUGAUCACUGAAGAUUUUUUGAUUGUGUAUCUUAUAUGACCAUAGCAGCUCUUUGUGUGUUUGUACUGAGAUAUUAUCUCAUCAGUCAGGGUGGUCUUGAACUCACUAUCCUACUACAGUGCUAGCUAGCAGCUCUUUGAUACAUGUAUCUGAGCUUUAUGACAUUCACAUAAUAAAUAAAUCUCUACAGCAAGAUGAAUUAAUAGAUAUAUUAUCUUGCAUAUCUGCUUUUUUGUGAUGAAAGCAGCUAAAAUCCACUUAUUUCAUAAAAAACUAAAUACAAUAUGGUCUUAUUAACUCUAGUACUUAUGCUGCCAUACAUAAAGUCUCUGUACUUGCUCCUCCUACACAUCUUCUACCUCAGGAUUCAAUUAGAACAGUUCUCACCACUUCAGUACAGUGAAGGUUUCCUUGUAGUGAAAGUGCAAUUCUAUCCUGCUGCUUCCCACUUUUCUAGCUUCACCCAUGGCUUGAGAGAAUAUAGAGAAACAUAAAGAAUACACUAAUUGGAACAAAGUUCUAGGCAAGGACAGCCAAGUAGAUGAACCCACUUUGUUCUCUUCUGUGGGGUUUUGCAUUUCUACCUAUGCCUAUUUAUAUGUAUGUAUCCCCUUUUCAUGCUGUAUGUUUUGGCUUUUUACUCUGUAUCCUGACUGUAUUCAAGCCGAGAAGAGGACUGCAACUGUAGCAUGGAGAACAUAUUGUAAUUAUGGUAAGACAAUGGCCAAUUCAGGAACUAUUCUCUAAAAGGUGAAGAGAUUGCAGAAACAAUCAUCAAACCCCCCUUAAAAUAUCAGGAAUUCAUUAGAGUACAGUGAGGCUUUCUGGCGGCAAAGCCAAUGACUGCCUAGGAUAAAGGAUCUGGGGAUGUCUGUCUGUCUCAACCCAGCCCCCUCAUCAGACCAAACCUACCAAGAAAACUGAGGCUUAUACCUCGUAAAAAGUCACCUGUGGCUGAAAUACUCUUUUCAUAUGAAUACUAUGAGUGCUCACCUUGGUGGUAUACUCCUGUCAUCUUAGCACUAAAAAGACCAAAGCAAUAGGACUACAGCCCAGUGUGGGUUGCAUGAUAAGAAUCUGUCUAAAAAUGACUAAUAUGUAUUACUUUUACUCAUACUUGCUCUUUUUUCUUUAAAAUAUCCCUGGAUCUCUGAACUCCACUUCACUCAACAUUAUGUCGUCUUAUACUCUGAGAAACAUCUUGGGACAUUUGUACCUGGAUUUCCUUCAGGCUUGAUGUUUGGUAUUCCUUAUAGACCUCCACACCAUAAUUACAGGUGAUUUUAACCAGAAAUGCCGCCCAUUAGCUCUGUCAAGAGGAACAAUAUUCAACAUGCCACCACACUGGAAAAACUUGCCUAGGAUCUGGCAACAAGCUGAAGUCCCAAGACCAUCUGGACAUCAAGAGUCAUUUCUUCAUAUUUCCAUAAAUGCUAGUUUGGUUGUGCUUGUAAUCCAUGCUACUUGGGAGACUUGAGUCAAAGAAACAAGUUGACCAUCCUGAACAACACAGUAUAACCUUUUCUCAAAUCAAAACCAACCAAACUCCAGAAAAGAUAUUCAUAAACUUUCUAGUGAGCUUGCUGAGGAAAAGGAUUGUAUUGCUAAAUGUUAAGGGAUAAUGCCAUUAAUAUUUUAUGUUAAUGGUAUUUUAUUUUUUAAGCCAUCAAAAUACUCAUUCUUAAUAACACGCAUUCUUGAGUGAACUUUCGUAAUGGGUGAAAUACUUAUAUGUAUGUGCGUGAUGAGAUAAUAUUUGUGCCAUUUUAGACUGAUAUUGUUAUUUGUAGUAUACUGAUGGUUCAGUGUAUAUCUUUUCCGUUAAGUUAUGUAAGAUUGGUGGAUUAGAAUUUACAAAUAAAAUAGUGGAUUAAACACUAUAUCUGAGCCAGUGAGUAAAAAAAAAUGUUAUGGUAAAAGCAUAAUAAAUCCUAUUUAUGUACAAGAAAGACUAAAAAACUAAAAAGGCAAAGUCUAAACUUCUCUACAAUGAAGGAGCCAGGUCCAGCAGAAAUCAGUUGUGGUACUACUCCUACUAACUGUAGCUGCCAGCCAUGUAUUCUCACCAUGAAAGUGCAGGAGAGAAGGCCUGGGCUGUGUAAACUCAACUGAAUGGGUAAAAAUCCCUUAUAUAAAACAGGCUGUGAGUAGUGGAAAUGUGGUUUGACAACCUAAAGAUCACUACACAUUAAUAGAAGGAACAAUUUGUCAAGGAUAUUAGAAUGUUAUCAAUUUUUUGCACCAAAUAUUAGAUCCAGUCAGUGAGAAAUUUCAAUACUCUUAUCUUUAGACACAUUUCAAACUAAAAAUCUACAAAGAAAUGGCGUGAGUAAAUAACACCAUAGAGCAGUCGCAUUUUACAGAUACUUACAAAGUAUUCCAUCCAACUAAUAGAAACUACGCAUUAAUCUCAGCAGCACAGGGGCCUUUAUCUAAAACUAUUCAGGAACAAAGCAAAGAUCGAAUUGCUUACAUUUUAUCAGAUAAUGGUAUAAUAAAAGAAGUUACAAAAAUAUUUGGUACUGAACAAUAUAUUUCUGAAUUCACAGUAGACUCUAAUAAAAUCCAGAGAGACUUUAGGGGAUACUUUAUUACCUUACAUUUUUAAAAAGCUAGAAAAUUGGGACUGGAGAUGUAGAUCUAUGGUAGACUGCUUGUUUGGCAUGUUCAAAACCCUAAAUUUGAUUCCUAGCACUGUUAAAAAAAUGUUAGAAAACUUAAAAGAAAUGGAUAUAUUCCUGAACCCAUGUGACCUGCCAACAUGAAUUCAAGGAAAUACGAACAACUUCAAGAAAUGCAAAAUAAGCAAUGAUUUUGUAGUCUUUCCACAUAGAAAGUCAGGCGAUGCUGGGUGGUACUGGUGCAUGUCUUUAAUCCCAGCACUUGAGAGGCAGAGACAGGAGGAGUUCUAUGAGUUCAAGGCCAGUCCCUGGUCUACACAGCAAGUUUCAGGACAGGCUCCAAAAGCUACAGAGAAAACCUGUCUUGAAAGACUAAAAGAAAAAGAAAAAAAGAAAGAGAGAGAGAAAGAAAAGAAAAGAAAAGAAAAGAAAAGAAAAAGAGGAAAGGAAAGACAGGGCUGAAUGGAUUCACUAUUGAAUUCUAAUAAAUCUUUAAGGAAGUCUAGCAUCAGUACUUCUUAAACAAUCUCAUAAAAAGAAGUGGAGGGGACACCAUUAAACUUAUCUAAGAAAUUCCAUGUUCCCAUAAUGUGAAUACUGUUAACAUUAUUGUUAUUCAUUUUAAAGCAUCAAAGAUGUUUUAUACAUACGUUAAAUUCAUCACUGACCCUAAAAAUGAAGUGACUGGAAAAAAAUGGAUUAAACAUCAAACUUCA
Long non-coding RNA from Microtus oregoni (creeping vole), 21858 nucleotides. RefSeq lists it as uncharacterized. The transcript is spliced from 2 exons. The record is from RefSeq and is a predicted model, not a curated record. NCBI's taxonomy places the organism in Eukaryota, Metazoa, Chordata, Mammalia, Rodentia, Cricetidae.